CCCCCCCCGCAUCUGCCUUCGCCCGCUCCGUCCCUUCUACCUGCCACCGCGCGCCGCCCUCGCUUCAGUCGUGCGCCCCCAGCCACCCCUCCUUGCAGAGACUGCACCGCUCAGUCGCGCAUAGGGCUGAGCCCCUGCCUGGCCUUUCCAGUCGCCCCAGGGUCCAGCCGCGCUCCCCGCCUCCCCCAGAGUUCAGACGGCCACCGCGAGCCGGCCUCGCCAGCCGGAGCUAAAUUAGUGUCUAAUUUCUCCGAUUCUCUCUGCUUGAUAUUGUGAUUUAUUAGCCUCAUGGGUUGCACCAGUGUUGUCUGACUGAUUUUGGGAUUUGACUUGACCUUACUUCUCGUAUGAACUAUGUAGCAUUUAACAGUUGUGAAAUUAAGGUUAGGUUUUCCGCUUCUGCUGCUCAACCAGUUCUUUUUUUUGUGCUGAUAACAGAUAUGUUUGUGUUUAUCUAUUCUGUAGAUGAUAGGAAAGGGGCAGUUGCUUGAUCUUCGAAGGCCAUUCCUUCUGGAAACUUGAUUAAUGGUUUUCAGGAUAAGCUGAGCUACUUUGGUUUAUUUAAAUUGAAGUGAAUUACUUGAGAUUAUGCAAUUAGCAUAUUGUUUAUUUCUCUUUUAACUAUGUCAUUGUAAGGAUCUUUCUUCUGCUUCGUUCCCUUUCAAGUGUUUGGUGAGCAUAAUUAUCGGUUUUUGUCAAGCUUUACAGCUGCUGGUGUCUCGGUUUCCCCCCGAGACAGCCUCUGCUAAUAGAGAACAUCGUUGCUUCUUCUGGUCAUGCUAAUCCAAAUGUUUUGCGAGAACUUGAUGGCUGGCAAGAAUCAUCGGAGCUGUCGAAGUUGAUGGUGAGAAUUCAGCGCUUGAAGAAACCGAAUCUUCCUCUUAUAACGUCUCUAAUGGUAAUAGAAGCCGACAUGUAAAGGAUGAUGACUCUUAUCUCCCCGACGAAAGGUACAUUGUUUAUAUAGAUUUUAUAAAAGCUGUUUGAAAUAACAUUUACUAGUAUAGAAAUAUAUGUUUUCAUACAAGUAUGCUUCGCCUACAAAACCAGCUGCGGAGCAUUAAUUUGCGUUCUCAUGGCUUCAUCAGAAGACAACAGUCCUCUAUUUCGUACAUCCUCUAUCUAUGCACUAAAAUGAUAAGGUAUACUACUUCAACUCCAUCACUAUUUAGAGAAUUCAAACUUAGUUCUAAAUAUCAGUUCUUGUUGCUUUAAAUAGCCCAUUUUUAUAUAUUUUUAGUUGUGUGUUGUGUAGGGAAAUUACAAUCAGCAAUAGAAAGGAAAAACAAAAAUCUAUUUUUUCCACAUUAUUAAUUUUACUGUGCAGGAAAUGAUAUAUGUGAGGGGUCUCUUUCUUGGUUUAUUUUUGUGCACACUCUCUUGUUUGUUGUGUGAUGGGAUGGACUUCACAGCAUAUCACAGACGAAUGAAGGCUAGUAGAUAGAUUUUACUUUAUUCGUUAUCUCUGCUAAAGUUCCGUCCGUUUGAAGUUCCAGCUUGUUUUUCAUUCAUCUUUUUUAGACACUAUAAUCUUAGUGAGAAGUGGAGCUCUAUGCAAUAAAUAAGACUUUAACAUUUGUGAUGCUACUUAAAGUGAAUUGUUUGAUAUACCAUAGUUAUCAAUCUUUUAAGACUUAAAUGAAUAACAUAUGAGUUCGUGGAUAUAAAAAUGGUCGGUGCAUAUUUCAUUAUAGAUUGUGGCUUAGUUGACUAUUGAGCAGAUAGAUUUCAUGAAAAAAUAACAAGGUGAGGGUUGCUUUGGUUUGGAAUUCAAGAAGUGAUAAUAUGUAGUUAUUAUUGUUUCCAUGUAGGAAAGAACCUCCUAUGAGGAAAUUAUAUAAACCAAUCAAAUUGUAGCUACAGAUAAGUUAUCUAAGAAUAGUGAUUGUGGCUUUGUAAUCCCAUAUUUGAUUGGUGGUGGUAUUGUCCAUAUUUGAUUUGUGAGUUUAUGUAGAGAACUUCAUAUGCAAAUUGAUUUGAAGUUGUUUUUUUUUUCUUUUCAUUAUUUGCUUCAUUAUUUGCAGGAAGGUGACUAUGAGAUGAAGCACAUAGAUAAAGUUGGAACUCGGACGUAGAAUGUAGCUAUUGCCCCCUUUGCUCUGUCCACAUUUGGAGAUGGUAUUAGUGUAGAGAGUAUCCAACUCAUAUGCAGCUUCUAGUUGUAGAGAUUAUGAUGUUAUUUAGAUAUAUUUGACACUUUGAUUAUGGAUGGAUAAAGUUUUUUGGAUGAUUAAAUAUUUAUAUAUGUUUUGGUUGUGGAAUA
Salvia miltiorrhiza (redroot sage) is the source of this 2263-nucleotide long non-coding RNA. RefSeq lists it as uncharacterized. Lineage: Eukaryota; Viridiplantae; Streptophyta; Magnoliopsida; Lamiales; Lamiaceae. The transcript is spliced from 3 exons. The record is from RefSeq and is a predicted model, not a curated record.